GCAAGUCGAGCGAACGAUAAGGAGCUUGCUCCUUUGACGUUAGCGGCGGACCCCUGAGUAACACGUGGAUAACCUACCUAUAAGACUGGGAUAACUUCGGGAAACCGGAGCUAAUACCGGAUAACAUAUUGAACCGCAUGGUUCAAUAGUGAAAGGCGGCUUUGCUGUCACUUAUAGAUGGAUCCGCGCCGUAUUAGCUAGUUGGUAAGGUGACGGCUUACCAAGGCAACGAUACGUAGCCGACCUGAGAGGGUGAUCGGCCACACUGGAACUGAGACACGGUCCAGACUCCUACGGGAGGCAGCAGUAGGGAAUCUUCCGCAAUGGGCGAAAGCCUGACGGAGCAACGCCGCGUGAGUGAUGAAGGUCUUCGGAUCGUAAAACUCUGUUAUCAGGGAAGAACAAAUGUGUAAGUAACUGUGCACAUCUUGACGGUACCUGAUCAGAAAGCCACGGCUAACUACGUGCCAGCAGCCGCGGUAAUACGUGGGUGGCAAGCGUUAUCCGGAAUUAUUGGGCGUAAAGCGCGCGUAGGCGGUUUUUUAAGUCUGAUGUGAAAGCCCACGGCUCAACCGUGGAGGGUCAUUGGAAACUGGAAAACUUGAGUGCAGAAGAGGAAAGUGGAAUUCCAUGUGUAGCGGUGAAAUGCGCAGAGAUAUGGAGGAACACCAGUGGCGAAGGCGACUUUCUGGUCUGCAACUGACGCUGAUGUGCGAAAGCGUGGGGAUCAAACAGG
Molecule: ribosomal RNA, 736 nt
Filed under: uncultured Staphylococcus sp.
Lineage: Bacteria; Bacillati; Bacillota; Bacilli; Caryophanales; Staphylococcaceae
Description: bacterial SSU rRNA
Rfam family: Bacterial small subunit ribosomal RNA
Source: RNAcentral